UCCUGGCUCAGGACGAACGCUGGCGGCGCGCCUAACACAUGCAAGUCGAACGAGAGAUGAGGAGCUUGCUCUUCAAAUCGAGUGGCGAACGGGUGAGUAACGCGUGAGGAACCUGCCUCAAAGAGGGGGACAACAGUUGGAAACGACUGCUAAUACCGCAUAAGCCCACGGCUCGGCAUCGAGCAGGGGGAAAAGGAGCAAUCCGCUUUGAGAUGGCCUCGCGUCCGAUUAGCUAGUUGGUGAGGUAACGGCCCACCAAGGCGACGAUCGGUAGCCGGACUGAGAGGUUGAACGGCCACAUUGGGACUGAGACACGGCCCAGACUCCUACGGGAGGCAGCAGUGGGGAAUAUUGCACAAUGGGGGAAACCCUGAUGCAGCGACGCCGCGUGGAGGAAGAAGGUCUUCGGAUUGUAAACUCCUGUUGUUGAGGAAGAUAAUGACGGUACUCAACAAGGAAGUGACGGCUAACUACGUGCCAGCAGCCGCGGUAAAACGUAGGUCACAAGCGUUGUCCGGAAUUACUGGGUGUAAAGGGAGCGCAGGCGGGAGAACAAGUUGGAAGUGAAAUCCAUGGGCUCAACCCAUGAACUGCUUUCAAAACUGUUUUUCUUGAGUAGUGCAGAGGUAGGCGGAAUUCCCGGUGUAGCGGUGGAAUGCGUAGAUAUCGGGAGGAACACCAGUGGCGAAGGCGGCCUACUGGGCACCAACUGACGCUGAGGCUCGAAAGUGUGGGUAGCAAACAGGAUUAGAUACCCUGGUAGUCCACACCGUAAACGAUGAUUACUAGGUGUUGGAGGAUUGACCCCUUCAGUGC
RNAcentral lists this ribosomal RNA (816 nucleotides) under uncultured bacterium. RNAcentral describes it as "bacterial SSU rRNA". It matches the Rfam family "Bacterial small subunit ribosomal RNA", at positions 17 to 846 of the family's 1533-position model. The record is from RNAcentral.